Molecule: transfer RNA, 72 nt
Filed under: Nanobdellota archaeon
Lineage: Archaea; Nanobdellati; Nanobdellota
Also listed under: 1 other name
Description: tRNA-Thr
Rfam family: tRNA
About the family: Transfer RNA (tRNA) molecules are approximately 80 nucleotides in length.
Source: RNAcentral
GCCUCUAUAGCUCAGGGGUAGAGCAGUGGUUUUGUAAACCAAAGGUCGGGGGUUCGAAUCCCUCUAGAGGCU